UCGAGCCGAGCUUUUCUGUUCAUUUCAGGUUGGCUUCGUAACAAUAGCAAGUUUUAUGCUCUUACCCCCAACACACUCACACACACUCAGGCAGCUCUCACUUUUCAAACCCCUGCCUUUGGGUAUCUUGUGCUCAACAGCAUGUUACAGACCCAUGGGUAAGCGUCACGCUGAACAACGAGUUUUCCAGAUCCCCCCCCACGCUUCAUCUUUAAGGUUGAUAAGAUGAAAGUUCCAUAAGCUACACAGCGUAAAAAAAAAAAAAAAGGAGGCUGGAAAUGCGUUUCAUCCCGAAGGGCUUCACAGAGAGAGCAGAGUGUGUCUCGGACUGCACUGAUGGGGGGGGGGGCGACAUGCAGCAGCCUAACCCAGGAUACAGGUGCACAAAUCGGCGUUUAAUCAAAAACAGGAAGGCCGAAGAGCUCGGGUCGGAAGUCCUCCAUGCUGUCGAGCACCAGCGUAGCCCCCUGUUUUAGAGCACAGUCCAAGUUCUGAUCGGGAAUCAUGACCACCUGCAUGCCAGCCACCAAGCCUGCUUUCACUCCAUUGGGGGCGUCUUCAAAAACCAGACA
Molecule: long non-coding RNA, 572 nt
Organism: Silurus meridionalis
Lineage: Eukaryota; Metazoa; Chordata; Actinopteri; Siluriformes; Siluridae
Exons: 2
Source: RefSeq, a predicted model, not a curated record